RNAcentral lists this ribosomal RNA (468 nucleotides) under uncultured bacterium. RNAcentral describes it as "partial 16S ribosomal RNA". It matches the Rfam family "Bacterial small subunit ribosomal RNA", at positions 28 to 507 of the family's 1533-position model. The record is from RNAcentral.
GACGAACGCUGGCGGCGUGCUUAACACAUGCAAGUCGAACGGAAAGGCCCUGCUUUUGUGGGGUGCUCGAGUGGCGAACGGGUGAGUAACACGUGAGUAACCUGCCCUUGACUUUGGGAUAACUUCAGGAAACUGGGGCUAAUACCGGAUAGGAGCUCCCGCUGCAUGGUGGGGGUUGGAAAGUUUCGGCGGUUGGGGAUGGACUCGCGGCUUAUCAGCUUGUUGGUGGGGUAGUGGCUUACCAAGGCUUUGACGGGUAGCCGGCCUGAGAGGGUGACCGGCCACAUUGGGACUGAGAUACGGCCCAGACUCCUACGGGAGGCAGCAGUGGGGAAUAUGGCACAAUGGGCGGAAGCCUGAUGCAGCAACGCCGCGUGCGGGAUGACGGCCUUCGGGUUGUAAACCGCUUUCGCCUGUGACGAAGCGUGAGUGACGGUAAUGGGUAAAGAAGCACCGGCUAACUACGUG